Molecule: ribosomal RNA, 468 nt
Filed under: uncultured bacterium
Lineage: Bacteria
Description: partial 16S ribosomal RNA
Rfam family: Bacterial small subunit ribosomal RNA
Source: RNAcentral
GACGAACGCUGGCGGCGUGCUUAACCCAUGCAAGUCGAACGGAAAGGCCCUGCUUUUGUGGGGUGCUCGUGUGGCGAACGGGUGUGUAACACGUGAGUAACCUGCCCUUUUCUUUGGGAUAUCUUCAGGAAACUGGGUCUAAUACCGGAUAGGAGCUCCUGCUGCAUGGUGGUGGUUGGUAAGUUUCGGCGGUUGGGGAUGGUCUCGCGGCUUAUCAGCUUGUUGGUGGGGUAGUGGCUUACCAAGGCUUUGACGGUUAGCCGGCCUGUGAGGGUGACCGGCGACAAGAGGAGUGAGAGAGGGAGCAGAGGGGAACGGGAGGCAGCAGUGGGGAAGAUGGCACAAUGGGAGGAAGGGUGAGGAAGCAACGCCGGGGGCGGGAAGACGGCGUGCGGGGAGAAAAAAGAAGUAGAAUGAGACGAAGCGAGAGUGACGGUAAGGGGAAAAGAAGCACCGGCUAACUACGUG